RNAcentral lists this unclassified non-coding RNA (578 nucleotides) under Hevea brasiliensis (rubber tree). Lineage: Eukaryota; Viridiplantae; Streptophyta; Magnoliopsida; Malpighiales; Euphorbiaceae. The record is from RNAcentral.
AGUUUGGUUAGGAACAUUCGAUACAGCAGAAGCUGCAGCAAGAGCAUAUGAUGAAGCUGCAUUGAGAUUUCGAGGAAACAGAGCAAAACUCAACUUCCCUGAGAACGCCAGAUUGUCAUCGUUACCACAAACACAAAAUACUGUAACGUCAACAAUCUCCAAUCCAUCCCCUCUAAUAGCUCAACCAACGUCGUUCCUCAAUCCUAUCCAGAGUUCAGAUACAACAAGAGACUACUGGGAAUACUCACAAUUGUUGCAAAAUCCAGGAGAUUUUACGGAUCAACAACCAUCAAACUUAUUGGAACAAAUGUUCGUUGCCUCAUCGAUGGCAAUGUUGCAUUCAAACACAUUGCCAUUAAUAUCUUCGUCUUCAUCGUUAGCUACAUCAGCAACUUCUUCAACGUCAUAUCCCCUGUUAUUUUCGAGUUAUUACACACCACAAACUAAUCAAAUUCAAGGAACCAACACAAGUAGCACCAGCACCACUAGCAGCUCAAGUUUUUCUACAACAUUUUGGAGUAGCUCUAGCCAAUAUCCUCCAUCUUCUAGUUAAAUUCUCAAAAUUUUCUUGCUUUUUU